ACAACUGGGGUGCUGCAAAAUAAGGAUUGCGGCUGAGAUAAUACCCAUCGUACCUGAUCCGGGUAAUGCCGGCGUAGGAAAUUACA
This 86-nucleotide non-coding RNA is filed under the name human gut metagenome. Its description in RNAcentral is "TPP riboswitch (THI element)". It matches the Rfam family "TPP riboswitch aptamer (THI element)", at positions 8 to 91 of the family's 105-position model. From Rfam's summary of the family: Vitamin B(1) in its active form thiamin pyrophosphate (TPP) is an essential coenzyme that is synthesised by coupling of pyrimidine and thiazole moieties in bacteria. The previously detected thiamin-regulatory element, thi box was extended, resulting in a new, highly conserved RNA secondary structure, the THI element, which is widely distributed in eubacteria and also occurs in some archaea. The record is from RNAcentral.